CCUUCUCAGGGCGAAACCUCGCGAGAACUGGGACGACACCGCCCCUUCUCCCUCCCCCCGCUCCCCCGACCCAUGAUGCUCCACGUCCAGCAUGGCAUCCUUCUGUCCCAGGGGACUCAACCUGGUAGUGCCGCGGGACGUAAAGCCGAGGUGGGCCCUGGCAGCCCGGGUGGGUCUGGGACGGCAAGGGGUCGAAAGGCCUCUCCCAGUAGCCAGUCGGCGGGAAAUUAGGGACCAGAGCACGUUUGGCUAAGUGUUCCUGAGAAUUACAUACACGUGCUUCACAUUUUACAGCUAUUUUAUUUUCCAAGGAAAUCUGAACCUUUCUUAAGAGAACAGCACUUAAGAAGAAUGGAGGGGUUGGCAAACACCACAAAUGGCUUCCCCAUACGGAGGAGAAUAAAUGCGCCGCAGUUGGAAGCAGAAAGUGGCCGGCUCAGAAAGAGGGUUUAUUCAUCUCUGAGCCCCGCAUUCUAGGGGCGAGUGCCUUGCUCAGACCCAGGGCACCCACAAAACGGGGCCUGAAGGAUUUGCAGCAAUGUUUACACAACUGUUCGAAGCUAUUAAUGGGACAGCAACCAAGCCAGGUUCUCGUUCAUAUAUUUUUCUUUUAUGAACUUAAGAGGCAGUAGCACUUCAGAUUAGAAUGUAUAGAAGGUCUUCAGUUUUGUUUUGAUGUUUAUUUUUGAGAGAGGGAGACAGAGCACGAGUGGAGGAGGGGCAGAGAGAGAGGCAGACACAGAAUCCAAAGCAGGCUCCAGGUUCUGAGCUGUCAGCACAGAGCCCAACGCGGGGCUUGAACCCACAAACCUCGAGAUCGUGACCUGAGCUGAAGUGGAUGCUUAGUUGACUGAGCCAACUAAGGUGCCCCAUCAGGUCUUCAAUUUUAAAUGCCACGUUUUUUCAUAUUUUCUCCUAUUUUUUAAUUACCUUGGCUGUAUUUGUCAUUCAUAGCAUCUUUCUCCCGAGAACUUCCGAGUACAAACAGAGAUGAAGGGAGUCACUGUCAGAUACUGGAGGUCUUUACUUUUCUAAUUUCUUGAUAUUAUUCAGACUAACCAACUGAAAAACUGGCAUUACUGGAGCCAUUUUAAAAUCGAGUCUGAGUGGCCAGUGGAGAGAAACCGCCAUACUCACCUUUGAACUGGGCCAAAACCUUUGCACUGGGUAAAACGGCAGUUGUUUUAAGCAACUGUUUGAAAAGUCAGCAGAACAGACAUCCGGAUCACAAGUCUGGUGGUUGUGGACUUUCUGAAGACAGAAUCAGCACUCAGUCAGUAUAUAACCCAGAGUAGCCUAGCCUGUUAAAACACCCAUAGAAAAAAAAUUUCUCCCUUAAAUCAUGUCAUUUGUUUUCCUCAUGAAAACCACCUUGCUUUCCUGAAUCUGUGCUCCCGACACUGCAACUCUUUGGUCCCAAAUAAAUACUCAUUUGCCUCUCA
This is a long non-coding RNA of Panthera uncia (snow leopard), 1442 nucleotides long. RefSeq lists it as uncharacterized. The record is from RefSeq and is a predicted model, not a curated record. Lineage: Eukaryota; Metazoa; Chordata; Mammalia; Carnivora; Felidae. The transcript is spliced from 2 exons.